UUUUUUUUUGUGCAGCUGCAUAGGAACAAAAAAGCAAUCUUAGCAUUGUGCCCAUGCAGCUCCAUAAAAAGAAUUCCUGUUCUUUGGCUCAGCCACCAGUGGUGCAUUUCAUUGCAGCAUCAGGACUGGAGUGAAAGCUGAGGGAAGGUUCCCACUGCUGGGACAAGGCAUUGAUGGAGCUCAUCUAGGAAAAUUCACAUCAUCCUGCCCUACCAAGGGAGAGAACUCCACACUUUGCUCCCUCGUUUUUGUCCGAUGCUUCAUCCUGGCAGCUUAUUUCCUGCUUUUUGCCCUUUGGGCAGGGCCAUCACAGAACUUUUUAAGAUCCCUCUAGUAGAAAGAUCCCAAAUUUAGUGACUGACUGAGUAGUUUUCACUUUGAGGGUUUUUUAUUACUACCUGAUAUAAAAGUCCAACAGUAUUCAUGCUUUGAAAUCACUCUCCAAAGGAAUGGAAAAGGCAGCUCGUGCUGGAUUUCCUUAAAGAAAUUUUCUUGCAGUGGCAAGGCUUAAAUUUUCCCAAAAAAAGAGCUUUUGUGCCACCUAGUGGAGUCACAGUUUGUGACAUAAUUAACAUUUCAUUACCAAACCACCAAGUUCAAAUGCUGUCCAAGGUGUUUUCUCAUCACACGUUUGUGUUUCAGUGCCCAGGCCAGGAAUACCAUCCAGAUGGGACCACAGAAGAAGCUUUUAUUGAGUGUUCUGGAGGACUCUGCAAGCAGAAGAUGCUGCCCUGCUCUCUGCAGAGCCUGCCCAAGGGAAGGGUAGAUAAACCAGUCCAAAUCCUACUUGCAUUCUAGCUUGAGCCCUCUCAAGCAUGCACUGCUGGGACUAUUUAAAGUUAUGCUGUGGAAAAUGACUGAAAAUGAAUAAAUGCUGUAUUUCAUUGCA
This is a non-coding RNA of Taeniopygia guttata (zebra finch), 889 nucleotides long. NCBI's taxonomy places the organism in Eukaryota, Metazoa, Chordata, Aves, Passeriformes, Estrildidae. The record is from RefSeq and is a predicted model, not a curated record.